This 417-nucleotide non-coding RNA is filed under the name Erwinia tracheiphila. Lineage: Bacteria; Pseudomonadati; Pseudomonadota; Gammaproteobacteria; Enterobacterales; Erwiniaceae. The record is from RNAcentral.
AGCUGCUUAACCGUGCUUUUCAAGGGUUCAAUACGUAGCUGGUUAUUGCUUAAAUUAACAUCGCCGAUCGCGCUGACCUGUUCCCCGUCCAGCGGAAUGUUAAGAUGUAAGUGACCACCCACAUCACCACUGAUUUUGAGUUGAUUCAGUGCCGCGCCAAGCGUGUUUUUUAAUGGCGUCUGAUUAAAAUAAGUGCCGACAUCAGAGCCUUCACUCUGAAUAUCACCAUCAAUGAUCAGCCGUUCUUUAAGAUAAUCCGGGAUGACGGCUGAAAUGUUUCUGGCCUGCACAUUACCAAGUUUUGUCUGGUCAGCUUUCAUAAACAGCCCGUCAUUCACAAAAUCCAGGUUGAUAUCCAGGUUUUUCAGAUCGGGCCAGCCGGGCUGAAACUGAAAGGUCCCCUGCCUGAGAGGCACC